Molecule: transfer RNA, 72 nt
Filed under: Verrucomicrobiota bacterium
Lineage: Bacteria; Pseudomonadati; Verrucomicrobiota
Description: Verrucomicrobia bacterium (freshwater metagenome) tRNA-Met
Rfam family: tRNA
About the family: Transfer RNA (tRNA) molecules are approximately 80 nucleotides in length. Their secondary structure includes four short double-helical elements and three loops (D, anti-codon, and T loops).
Source: RNAcentral
GCCAGGGUAGCUCAGUGGUAGAGCGGGGGACUCAUAAGCCCUAGGUCGGGAGUUCAAUCCUCCCCCCUGGUA